RNAcentral lists this RNase P RNA (411 nucleotides) under Candidatus Magasanikiibacteriota bacterium. Its description in RNAcentral is "RNase P RNA component class A". It matches the Rfam family "Bacterial RNase P class A". From Rfam's summary of the family: Ribonuclease P (RNase P) is a ubiquitous endoribonuclease, found in archaea, bacteria and eukarya as well as chloroplasts and mitochondria. The record is from RNAcentral. Lineage: Bacteria; Candidatus Magasanikiibacteriota.
UGCUCUAUACAAUGUGAUCGCUCGGCCUUCAGGCCGAGAGGAAAGUCCGAACUCCUCAUGAGCUCUCGUAGUUCAUGAUCGUGAUAGUGGGUAACACCCACCUGCCGGUAUGUGAAUACUUGGUACGGGCCAGUGCCACAGAGACUAUACUAUCCCGACUUUGUCGGGAAAAACGUGAAAAGUGAACGGAUGUUUUUACGCUAUAGAUAAAAGCUACUGUUCUCAUCUUGAUAGCAAUAUCAAGAUGUGGUAAACCCUAUCUGGAGAAAGUGCCGUGUUUCCUGAUUCUAUCAGGAUUCAAAAAGUUAGCACGUGAAGAUUUCAUGAGUAAUCAUGAAACAAGAGAAAUGAUCACCAUCGUCUCUUUCGAGAGACGGGGUACAAAAUUCGGCUUAUUGUAUAGAGCAACAA